UGGGGAAUAUUGGACAAUGGGCGAAAGCCUGAUCCAGCCAUGCCGCGUGAGUGAUGAAGGCCUUAGGGUUGUAAAGCUCUUUUGUCCCGGGAAGAUAAUGACGGUACCGGAAGAAUAAGCCCCGGCUAACUUCGUG
This 136-nucleotide ribosomal RNA is filed under the name uncultured Sphingomonas sp. RNAcentral's name for it is "partial 16S ribosomal RNA". It matches the Rfam family "Bacterial small subunit ribosomal RNA", at positions 355 to 507 of the family's 1533-position model. Lineage: Bacteria; Pseudomonadati; Pseudomonadota; Alphaproteobacteria; Sphingomonadales; Sphingomonadaceae. The record is from RNAcentral.